RNAcentral lists this ribosomal RNA (497 nucleotides) under uncultured bacterium. RNAcentral describes it as "partial 16S ribosomal RNA". It matches the Rfam family "Bacterial small subunit ribosomal RNA", at positions 28 to 507 of the family's 1533-position model. The record is from RNAcentral.
GAUGAACGCUGGCGGCGUGCCUAAUACAUGCAAGUCGAGCGAACAGAUAAGGAGCUUGCUCCUCUGACGUUAGCGGCGGACGGGUGAGUAACACGUGGAUAACCUACCUAUAAGACUGGGAUAACUUCGGGAAACCGGAGCUAAUACCGGAUAAUAUAUUGAACCGCAUGGUUCAAUAGUGAAAGACGGUUUUGCUGUCACUUAUAGAUGGAUCCGCGCCGCAUUAGCUAGUUGGUAAGGUAACGGCUUACCAAGGCAACGAUGCGUAGCCGACCUGAGAGGGUGAUCGGCCACACUGGAACUGAGACACGGUCCAGACUCCUACGGGAGGCAGCAGUAGGGAAUCCUCCGCAAUGGGCGAAAGCCUGGCGGAGCAACGCCGCGUGAGUGAUGAAGGUCUUCGGAUCGUAAAACUCUGUUAUUAGGGAAGAACAAAUGUGUAAGUAACUAUGCACGUCUUGACGGUACCUAAUCAGAAAGCCACGGCUAACUACGUG